This 253-nucleotide ribosomal RNA is filed under the name uncultured bacterium. RNAcentral describes it as "partial 16S ribosomal RNA". It matches the Rfam family "Bacterial small subunit ribosomal RNA", at positions 524 to 776 of the family's 1533-position model. The record is from RNAcentral.
UACGUAGGGUGCGAGCGUUAACCGGAAUUACUGGGCGUAAAGCGUGCGCAGGCGGCUUUGCAAGACAGAGGUGAAAUCCCCGGGCUCAACCUGGGGACUGCCUUUGUGACUGCAAGGCUAGAGUACGGCAGAGGGAGAUGGAAUUCCGCGUGUAGCAGUGAAAUGCGUAGAUAUGCGGAGGAACACCGAUGGCGAAGGCAAUCUCCUGGGCCUGUACUGACGCUCAUGCACGAAAGCGUGGGGAGCAAACAGG